AGCAGCGGUGGGCUGGUGUUCAAAGGUCACAUUUGGGUGCUGAAAUGACACCGGUCGCUUUGGGGAGAAGAUGGAGAUGCUGUUGAUUCAAAUGUUCUUAGUGGCACUCUGCUUUCACAGACACGAUGGUGGCAGAGCUGGUGACAAUGUUUUGGAUGGUGUUGGUGACGCUUGCUUGCCUUAGUUUGUGACUUCAGUGUCUUGGGCAUGUCCUCCCAAAAGUUCAUGUGUUGGGGACUAAAUCCUGGGGGGAAAAAUCAGUGGAAUUUGGAGUUGGGGCCUUUGGGAGGUGAGUGGGAUUAAACGGUGUUGGGAGAGUGCAGCCCCAGGGUGUCAUGGCAGCUUUUAUGAAAAGGAAGGGGUCUGCAGGGCCUAGGGAUGCACCCCUGUAACCUGGGCAGUUAGGAUGUGGAGGCAGGAGGAUCAUGGAUUCGAGUCUAACUUCGGCCACCUAGUGAGUUUGGGAGCAGCCUGAGUUACGUCAUGACGAGCCUCUGCCCCAGACCUUGCCAGCCACGAGCCUUGCAGCGCCAUGAUGCAGGAAGUUCUCCCUAGACGCCAGCAGACAUCAGUGCCUUGUUCUUGGACUUGCUGGCCUCCAGAACUGGACCCACAUAAACUUGCAGUUUCGUAAGUUACCUGUCUCAGAUAUACCAGGACAGCAACAGAAAAUGAACGGAAUGGCAUCAGUGAAGUGGAAGUGGCGUGGGGUGGCUGUGCCGACGGUGAACUUGCUAUUGUGGUGUUGGGAAUAGAGACAGUAACAGGGAGGGUGGAGACGAGACGGGCACUAGGAUGGGGGUGAGUACUCAGAGUGGUGGUGACCAUGAGCUGACCACAGCUCCCCUGCUAAGCUGGUGGUACACAGACUGUGGGGACAUCUCAGCACCUUUCCUGAGCCCAGCUUCCCACGUGCACAUUCCUUCUCAGUACAGGAGAGAUGUCUGUUUUCUGGGGGCCAGGGUUUGGGGGGAUGGUGAUGAGAAAGAGAUCUGGGCCUGGGAACCCAGACGGAGAGGGCUGCUCACGCGGGAGGGUGCUGUUGGAAGGACGUAGGCAGCAGAGAGGCAUGUGAGGCAUGUCAAUGGUGGGGCCCUGCACUGGGGUGGCAGAGAGGCUGGUGGCUGGUGGCGUGCAGGGGCUCACGUAGCUGCUGGAGCAAGGGCUGCACUUCCUGCUGACUCAGCAGAGCAGGCUGGGACCAAUUCUCCCAGACUAAUGUGUCUUCUCCCCGGGAUUAACUCACACAGCUCUGGCUGGGAAAGGGGGAGGGUGACAGCCUCUCCCAUCAGCCUAGGCUUAGAGAUUUUUUUUUUCAGAAGGUCUGGACGGACCAUGGAGCCCAGCAGAGCCAGUGACUGGCCCUGCAUGUCCUGAAUAUCCUCAACUUUAUUCUCAAGAGACUCCCAUUUGGCUGGCAGGAAACCAGGCUCACCUAGUGUCAGGGGAUAGAGCUGCCCCAUCCCACGUGGCAGGUUUUUCUGGCAUCCAUACCCUGGUUCUGCUUUGCAAAAGACGGCAUGGCCCUGGGGCAAAGCAAGUAAACUCAAGUCAGACCACUGAACCUCCUUUUCAGGGUGUGCUGUACUCCACUGCACAGCUGCAUCCUGGGUCAUCUGCAAGGGGCUAUGCUGCUCAUGGGCUGCCUGCCGUGAGGCAUGGACGAGACAAGGUACAAGGGUGGCACACACCGAGCAAGCUCAGCUUUUCCCUGCACUAAAGAGAACUAUCAGCAGCAAUGCUGACCAGAUGCAAUGAAGCCAAGGUCUACAGCAAAGAGAGACUGCAUAAGUAGCUGAUAUCCUCAGCUGGAAAAGAGGUCCUUAAGAAGUGUAUGUCUGGCCGGGCAGUGGUGGCGCACACCUUUAAUCCCAGCACUCGGGAGGCAGAGCCAGGUGGAUCUCUGUGAGUUCGAGGCCAGCCUGGUCUAUUGAGCAAGUUCUAGGACAGGCACCAAAACUAUACAGAGAAACCAUAUCUCGAAAAACCAAAGAAGAAGGAAGAGGAGGAGGAGGAGAAAUGCAUGUCUGAGCCCCGGCAUUGUGGUACACGCCUGUAAUCUCAGUACUUGGGAGGUAGAGGCAAGAGCAGCAAGAGGGAAGGUUUUCCUUGGCUGGUGAGUUAUAGGCUAGCCUGGGUUAUGACUCAAGUGUUCAUGAGAAUCUGAUGCCCCCUCCAAAAGACCCCCCCCCCCAAAAAAAAGGGACUGGAGAGAUUAAGAAUUAAAAACACUGGCUGCUUCCAAAUACCUAGGUUCAAUUCCCAGCACCCAUGUAUGACAGUUCACAAACAUCUGUAACUUUUAGGCCCAGGGUAUCAGACACCCUCUUCUGGCCUCCACAUGCAAUGCGCAUGUGUGGUGCACAGGCUACAUUCAGGCAAAAAUAUCCAUACAUACAAAAUGAAAAGAAAUUUAAAAACCCCAAUCAUGCAGAUGCAUUUUGUCUCUAUAAAAGCUGCACGGGUGUGUGUGUGUGUGUGUGUGUGGGGGGGGGUGUCUUUGAAGAGCUAACAUUAUGUCCCACGUCUGCCUGGUUUAUACUUUUCUUCCUCAGCACUGUGAUUUUUAGAUCCCCUGUGUUGUCAUAUGUGGAUUGAUCUCUUCUGAUUGGCUGCUGCACAGUGUGCUAUCCAAAGCAAGUGAUGCUUCACACAUUCAUUGCCCCAGGUGACAGGCACAUCUCCACCAUAGCCGGACUGCACCGAGAGCCCUUAAUCCCAGCCUGCCUGGAGUUCCCAUUCAGCAGUCAGCAGCCGUUGAUCGCUGAUGCUUACUGCGAUGGGUGUCCAGAGUGCAAGCGUCAAGAUGCAAACUCUAUGUGGCCCAUAUCCCAGCUGUGCUCCUUAUCCAAGGAAAGAGACAAUUGUGGGGAGGGGGG
This is a non-coding RNA of Peromyscus maniculatus bairdii (prairie deer mouse), 2879 nucleotides long. The record is from RefSeq and is a predicted model, not a curated record. NCBI's taxonomy places the organism in Eukaryota, Metazoa, Chordata, Mammalia, Rodentia, Cricetidae.